Molecule: ribosomal RNA, 496 nt
Filed under: uncultured bacterium
Lineage: Bacteria
Description: partial 16S ribosomal RNA
Rfam family: Bacterial small subunit ribosomal RNA
Source: RNAcentral
GAUGAACGCUGGCGGCGUGCCUAAUACAUGCAAGUCGAGCGAACAGACGAGGAGCUUGCUCCUCUGACGUUAGCGGCGGACGGGUGAGUAACACGUGGAUAACCUACCUAUAAGACUGGGAUAACUUCGGGAAACCGGAGCUAAUACCGGAUAAUAUAUUGAACCGCAUGGUUCAAUAGUGAAAGACGGUUUUGCUGUCACUUAUAGAUGGAUCCGCGCCGCAUUAGCUAGUUGGUAAGGUAACGGCUUACCAAGGCAACGAUGCGUAGCCGACCUGAGAGGGUGAUCGGCCACACUGGACCUGAGACACGGUCCAGACGCCGACGGGAGGCAGCAGUAGGGAAUCUGCCGCAAUGGGCGAAAGCCUGACGGAGCAACGCCGCGUGAGUGAUGAAGGUCUGCGGAUCGUAAAACUCUGUUAUUAGGGAAGAACAAAUGUGUAAGUAACUAUGCACGUCUUGACGGUACCUAAUCAGAAAGCCACGGCUAACUACGG